Molecule: ribosomal RNA, 777 nt
Filed under: Escherichia coli
Lineage: Bacteria; Pseudomonadati; Pseudomonadota; Gammaproteobacteria; Enterobacterales; Enterobacteriaceae
Description: partial 23S ribosomal RNA
Rfam family: Bacterial large subunit ribosomal RNA
Source: RNAcentral
UCCAAGGCUAAAUACUCCUGACUGACCGAUAGUGAACCAGUACCGUGAGGGAAAGGCGAAAAGAACCCCGGCGAGGGGAGUGAAAAAGAACCUGAAACCGUGUACGUACAAGCAGUGGGAGCCUCUUAAUGGGGUGACUGCGUACCUUUUGUAUAAUGGGUCAGCGACUUAUAUUCUGUAGCAAGGUUAACCGAAUAGGGGAGCCGAAGGGAAACCGAGUCUUAACUGGGCGUUAAGUUGCAGGGUAUAGACCCGAAACCCGGUGAUCUAGCCAUGGGCAGGUUGAAGGUUGGGUAACACUAACUGGAGGACCGAACCGACUAAUGUUGAAAAAUUAGCGGAUGACUUGUGGCUGGGGGUGAAAGGCCAAUCAAACCGGGAGAUAGCUGGUUCUCCCCGAAAGCUAUUUAGGUAGCGCCUCGUGAAUUCAUCUCCGGGGGUAGAGCACUGUUUCGGCAAGGGGGUCAUCCCGACUUACCAACCCGAUGCAAACUGCGAAUACCGGAGAAUGUUAUCACGGGAGACACACGGCGGGUGCUAACGUCCGUCGUGAAGAGGGAAACAACCCAGACCGCCAGCUAAGGUCCCAAAGUCAUGGUUAAGUGGGAAACGAUGUGGGAAGGCCCAGACAGCCAGGAUGUUGGCUUAGAAGCAGCCAUCAUUUAAAGAAAGCGUAAUAGCUCACUGGUCGAGUCGGCCUGCGCGGAAGAUGUAACGGGGCUAAACCAUGCACCGAAGCUGCGGCAGCGACACUAUGUGUUGUUGGGUAGGGGAGCG